This 209-nucleotide ribosomal RNA is filed under the name uncultured bacterium. Its description in RNAcentral is "partial 16S ribosomal RNA". It matches the Rfam family "Bacterial small subunit ribosomal RNA", at positions 568 to 775 of the family's 1533-position model. The record is from RNAcentral.
AGCGCAGGCGGGAGAACAAGUUGGAAGUGAAAUCCAUGGGCUCAACCCAUGAACUGCUUUCAAAACUGUUUUUCUUUGAGUAGUGCAGAGGUAGGCGGAAUUCCCGGUGUAGCGGUGGAAUGCGUAGAUAUUAGGAGGAACACCAGUGGCGAAAGCGGCUUUCUGGACGACAACUGACGCUGAGGCGCGAAAGCCAGGGGAGCAAACGG